GAUGAAGAACGUAGCGAAAUGCGAUAAGUAAUGUGAAUUGCAGAAUUCAGUGAAUCAUCGAAUCUUUGAACGCACAUUGCGCCCGCCAGUAUUCUGGCGGGCAUGCCUGUCCGAGCGUCAUUUCAACCCUCGCGCCCAUCUGGGCUGCGGUGUUGGGGACCGGCCUGCCCCCCCGGGGCGCGCCGUCCCCCAAAUUCAGUGGCGGUCUCGCUGCAGCCUCCCUUGCGUAGUAGCACACCUCGCACCGGAGCGCAGCGCGGCCACGCCGUAAAACCCCCGACCCCCAUGAGUUUGACCUCGGAUCAGGUAGGAAUACCCGCUGAACUUAAGAAUAUCAAUAAGCGGAGA
Molecule: unclassified non-coding RNA, 348 nt
Filed under: soil metagenome
Description: partial contains 5.8S ribosomal RNA, internal transcribed spacer 2, and large subunit ribosomal RNA
Rfam family: 5.8S ribosomal RNA (bases 1-120)
Source: RNAcentral